Molecule: long non-coding RNA, 420 nt
Filed under: Phoenix dactylifera (date palm)
Lineage: Eukaryota; Viridiplantae; Streptophyta; Magnoliopsida; Arecales; Arecaceae
Description: long non-coding RNA (PDAC_LNC021872)
Source: RNAcentral
UUUUUCUUAAACUGUAAUUUUUAUCUAGAAAUCAUAUUGAGUUUAAGCUUUUAUACAAAAUCAGAUUCUGAAUUUCAUAAAGAUUUUCAAUAGAGGCUUUCAAAAUCAUAAUUUGAGAUAUGUAUCUUCCACAUUGUAGCUCAUCUUAAAUCGUUACGAUUGAAAACACAUAUUUUAAAUAUAUAAGAGCAUAUUCAGAAUAUUUGUAUUUAUGUUGAGUUUCGGUAUGAAUUAGAACAUUAUAUACCAAAGUUAGGCAAGUUGAAAGAUAAAACAAAAUCAAUUCAUUUUGCCUAAAUAGAGAUAUACUUUUCUUCUCCUUUUUACAAAUUUAUUCAACUUUCAGAUUUCAAAGAUGAUUGUGAACGACAAAUCUAAAAUUUCUUUUCAAUAAUACCAUAAAAUAACUUCAUAUAGUAU